AGAGUUUGAUCAUGGCUCAGGAUGAACGCUAGCUACAGGCUUAACACAUGCAAGUCGAGGGGAAACGAUAGAGAAAGCUUGCUUUUUCUAGGCGUCGACCGGCGCACGGGUGAGUAACGCGUAUCCAACCUGCCCACCACUUGGGGAUAACCUUGCGAAAGUAAGACUAAUACCCAAUGACGUCUCUAGAAGACAUCUGAAAGGGAUUAAAGAUUUAUCGGUGAUGGAUGGGGAUGCGUCUGAUUAGCUUGUUGGCGGGGUAACGGCCCACCAAGGCAACGAUCAGUAGGGGUUCUGAGAGGAAGGUCCCCCACAUUGGAACUGAGACACGGUCCAAACUCCUACGGGGGGCAGCAGUGAGGAAUAUUGGUCAAUGGGCGAGAGCCUGAACCAGCCAAGUAGCGUGCAGGAUGACGGCCCUAUGGGUUGUAAACUGCUUUUAUAAGGGAAUAAAGUGAGCCUCGUGAGGCUUUUUGCAUGUACCUUAUGAAUAAGGACCGGCUAAUUCCGUGCCAGCAGCCGCGGUAAUACGGAAGGUCCGGGCGUUAUCCGGAUUUAUUGGGUUUAAAGGGAGCGUAGGCCGGAGAUUAAGCGUGUUGUGAAAUGUAGAUGCUCAACAUCUGCACUGCAGCGCGAACUGGUUUCCUUGAGUACGCACAAAGUGGGCGGAAUUCGUGGUGUAGCGGUGAAAUGCUUAGAUAUCACGAAGAACUCCGAUUGCGAAGGCAGCUCACUGGAGCGCAACUGACGCUGAAGCUCGAAAGUGCGGGUAUCGAACAGGAUUAGAUACCCUGGUAGUCCGCACGGUAAACGAUGGAUGCCCGCUGUUGGUCUGAAUAGGUCAGCGGCCAAGCGAAAGCAUU
Molecule: ribosomal RNA, 863 nt
Filed under: uncultured bacterium
Lineage: Bacteria
Description: bacterial SSU rRNA
Rfam family: Bacterial small subunit ribosomal RNA
Source: RNAcentral